Molecule: ribosomal RNA, 548 nt
Filed under: uncultured bacterium
Lineage: Bacteria
Description: bacterial SSU rRNA
Rfam family: Bacterial small subunit ribosomal RNA
Source: RNAcentral
AGAGUUUGAUCCUGGCUCAGAUUGAACGCUGGCGGCAGGCCUAACACAUGCAAGUCGAGCGGUAACAUUUCUAGCUUGCUAGAAGAUGACGAGCGGCGGACGGGUGAGUAAUACUUGGGGAUCUGCCUGAUGGCGGGGGACAACCACUGGAAACGGUGGCUAAUACCGCAUAAUGCCUACGGGCCAAAGUGUGGGACCUUCGGGCCACAUGCCAUCAGAUGAACCCAAGCGAGAUUAGCUAGUUGGUGAGGUAACGGCUCACCAAGGCGACGAUCUCUAGCUGUUCUGAGAGGAUGAUCAGCCACACUGGGACUGAGACACGGCCCAGACUCCUACGGGAGGCAGCAGUGGGGAAUAUUGGACAAUGGGCGCAAGCCUGAUCCAGCCAUGCCGCGUGUGUGAAGAAGGCCUUCGGGUUGUAAAGCACUUUCAGUGGUGAGGAAGGCGUUGUAGUUAAUAGCUGCAACGAUUGACGUUAGCCACAGAAGAAGCACCGGCUACUCGUGCCACAGCCGCGGUAAUACGGAGGGUGCGAGCGUUAAUUCGGA